AAACACGAAUGUUUUGUUGUUGGUCACGAAUUCUCUAUCAAUCGAUAAAGAUUAAGUAUAGCAUAACAUUUGAAAGAUAUUAAUUGGACAUACGUAGUGAACGGAUAGAAAUUAUGAAAAAUACUUUCUUCGAAAUCCAAUACAAGACAUUUUAUAAUUCAUGGGAAAUAGAGGAUUUUGGUUUAAUGAGGCAUGUCCAUGGAAAUAGAAACCAAGGGAAAGAUAAGUAGGACUAUAGGCGCGUGUAAGUGAAGCCUGAAGUGGGAGACCAACAACGCUCUAGAGGGGAAGAGAGAAAGCUAAGACAAUAAGGUUCAAGAAUAUCAAGAGCUCGAAGACGUACCUAUGUUGAAUAUAUAAAAUGUAACGUUUAUGAAAGUUAUGAACUUUCUUUUCUGUCAUCUUAAUAAAUACCCACUUCCAACAAUC
RNAcentral lists this long non-coding RNA (429 nucleotides) under Leptinotarsa decemlineata (Colorado potato beetle). RNAcentral's name for it is "uncharacterized LOC111511509, transcript variant X1". Lineage: Eukaryota; Metazoa; Arthropoda; Insecta; Coleoptera; Chrysomelidae. The record is from RNAcentral.